CCUACGGGUGGCUGCAGUGAGGAAUAUUGGGCAAUGGGGGCAACCCUGACCCAGCCAUGCCGCGUGAGUGAAGAAGGUCUUCGGAUUGUAAAGCUCUGUCGGACGUGACGAUCAUGACGGUAGCGUCUAAAGAAGCACCGGCAAACUUCUUGCCAGCAGCCACGGUAAUACGAAGGGUGCGCGCGUUGUUCGGAAUUACUGGGCGGAAGGGGAGUGUAGGCGGAUAUGUAAGAUAGCGGUGAAAGGCCGGGGCUCAACCCGGGAACUGCCAUUAUGACUAUGUAUCUAGAGUAAUGGAGAGGAUAGCGGAAUACCAAGUGUAGAGGUGAAAUUCGUAGAUAUUGGGUAGAACACCAGUGGCGAAGGCGGCUAUCUGGCCAUUUACUGACGCUGAGGCUCGAAAGCAUGGGGAGCAAACAGGAUUAGAUACCCGGGUAGUC
RNAcentral lists this ribosomal RNA (440 nucleotides) under uncultured bacterium. RNAcentral describes it as "partial 16S ribosomal RNA". It matches the Rfam family "Bacterial small subunit ribosomal RNA", at positions 338 to 795 of the family's 1533-position model. The record is from RNAcentral.